Peromyscus eremicus (cactus mouse) is the source of this 105-nucleotide small nuclear RNA. Lineage: Eukaryota; Metazoa; Chordata; Mammalia; Rodentia; Cricetidae. The record is from RefSeq and is a predicted model, not a curated record.
GUUCACUCCAGCAGCACAUAUACUAAAAUUGGAACUAAUCAGAGAAGAUUGGCAUGGCCCCUGUACAAGGAUGGCAUUCAAAAUUGUUAAGUGUUCCAUAUUUAA